Chenopodium quinoa (quinoa) is the source of this 1686-nucleotide long non-coding RNA. RefSeq lists it as uncharacterized. The record is from RefSeq and is a predicted model, not a curated record. Lineage: Eukaryota; Viridiplantae; Streptophyta; Magnoliopsida; Caryophyllales; Amaranthaceae. The transcript is spliced from 2 exons.
CAUCUUUUUCGCACCGGUUCAAAUCGGUGCGAAUUACAAAAGAGAAAAAAAAAUAAAAAAAAAAAAGGAGAAAGGGAUUUCGCACCGAUCCAGUCCAAACCGGAGCGAAAUUAAAAAAAAAAAAAAAAACCGGGCUAUUAUAUCUUCUUCUUUCUUUCUUUCUUACCCCCUGCUUUUCCAUCUUCUGUUUUCCCUCAGCUCGUUUUCGCCUUCUUUUCCACCACCUCCGAAUUUUCACCUUCUCCAUUGAAGCGGUUUAUCAGCUUUCUCACUCCAUUGAAGUAGCUGCACCUCCUUUUCUCUCCAUAUCUCUCCUCCAUUGAACUCGUGUUCUUUAUUCUCCAUUGAAGCGGAUUCUGAGCUUUCUCACCUCCAUUGAAGCAGCUUCGAGGUAAGGUUUUUCUUGUGGCAUUCUUAAUCUAUCGAAUUCCUUCGCAAUCUAGGGUUUGUCGUUGAUUUGCUUUUCAAUUUAGUAAUUUUAGGGUUGUAAUAAUAUAGGGUUUGUCUGAAUUUACAAAUCUUGAUUCAACCCCAUAUUCUGACAAACCUGCAACGCUUCCGACCAACACACUGUCACCUUUAACGGCUUCCGGUACCGGCGCUUGAAAGGCUUUUUUUUUUUUUUUUUUUUUUUUUUUUUUUUUUGUUAAAGCUUACAAAACCCUAAUAUAAAUCUCUCUUUCGCUCAAUUUUUUCCCCAAUUACAAGUAAGUUUCUUCUCUUUUUCGCUUAAUUCAUCUUUAUAUUCUUUUAUGCUGUAUUUUUUGUUGAUUCUGUUAUAGAUUUAGUUGAAAUUUGUAAUAUUACGUUGUUUUUUUUUUUUUUUUUAAUCUGCGUUUUUUUGCUCAAUUUUUUCCCCAAUUUCAAGCAAUGUUUUUGCUAACCUUGGCUGUGUAGAAUCUGUAGAUUGUGUAUUGUGGGUUCUUUGAUUUUGGAACUUGACUCGUUAUUUUGGGUUCACUGUUUUUUUUUUAAUUCCAUAACUUUGCUAUGAAUCUAAGUUUGUUUUGAUAAAUAAUUAGUUUAAUUCAUUAUAAUUGGCCUAUGAACAAGUUGAGUUUCACUAUAUUCAUACUGAUUAAAAUUUGUAUGCAUUAGUCAAUUUUUUCAAGCAUUGGAUUUGAGUGUCAAUUUUUGUUUGCUUCAAUGUGUUUAUGAUGGAUAUUUUGUAGGGCUUCAAUUUGAGAACAAUUGUGAAGUGGGUGUGUUCUCUAAGUUGACUAAUGCAUAUUGUUUAUUUGGUCAGCAAUCGGCAGGUCUGAGAACUUUUACAGUACAUUAAGCGAAUUGUCGUGUGAGAUAUCUGGAGAUCUUGCUGGGCAGCGAAGUUCAGAACAGAACCAGAAGAAAAGCAGCAGCAUUAAACUCGGGAGAGCAUAACAGCAAGACGAAGGAACCCAGGUGGUUGUAGCUCUCGGUUUGCUAUGAAACAGGCUGAAAUUUCGUUAAGUUGAAAGCUGUACUUUGGGGGAAAGUUUCUGGGCUGGUUGUUCGUGGUUGUUUCGCCAAUUUUCACUCAAGAAAAAUUGGUAUUCAUUACUCUAGAUUCCUUUGUUAAUUUAUGAUUUUUGCAUGCAGUAUUUCAAUAGUUGGUGAUUUGGUACUAAGUUAAUUUUGUUUUCAUCAUUUCAGUAUUAUCAGAUUAAGGAGUUGUUUCAAGUAUUAUUAGAUUCAUUUACUUGUUUA